GAUGAAGAACGCAGCGAAAUGCGAUAAGUAAUGUGAAUUGCAGAAUUCAGUGAAUCAUCGAAUCUUUGAACGCACAUUGCGCCCGCCAGUAUUCUGGCGGGCAUGCCUGUCUGAGCGUCAUUUCAACCCUCAUGCCCCUAGGGCGUGGUGUUGGGGAUCGGCCAAAGCCCGCGAGGGACGGCCGGCCCCUAAAUCUAGUGGCGGACCCGUCGUGGCCUCCUCUGCGAAGUAGUGAUAUUCCGCAUCGGAGAGCGAUGAGCCCCUGCCGUUAACCCCCAACUUUCCAAGGUUGACCUCAGAUCAGGUAGGAAUACCCGCUGAACUUAAGCAUAUCAAUAGCGGAGGA
This 346-nucleotide unclassified non-coding RNA is filed under the name soil metagenome. RNAcentral's name for it is "partial contains 5.8S ribosomal RNA, internal transcribed spacer 2, and large subunit ribosomal RNA". The stretch from base 1 to 120 matches the Rfam family "5.8S ribosomal RNA", at positions 35 to 154 of the family's 154-position model. The record is from RNAcentral.